AAAGGGUGGAUUUUUGGGUUCUUGUUUAACUUGUUAAAAGUGUUUUCAAGUAACUUUUGGAACCCUUAUGUACCCUAGUUUGGUUAUAUGUUAUUUCCCUAAAGUUUGAAUGGUUUUGGGAUGUUUUUGGAGUAAAAAUGUUCAUGGAAAUUUUUGGGUUUUUUCAUGAAUGUUCUUCAUUGUUCUUGACAUUUUUGCCAAGAACAAAAAGUUUUGUGUUUUGAUUCAAAGUUUUGAUUUAUUUCAUAAAGUUUAUGUUUUAUGAUUUUCAAAUGUUUAAUUGUUUUAGAUAUUUGUUUAAAUGGUGAUAGAAAUAAUGGUGGGUGUGAAAGGAUUAAUUCCCUUUCACACACACUA
This 357-nucleotide long non-coding RNA is filed under the name Malus domestica (apple). RNAcentral describes it as "long non-coding RNA (MDOM_LNC020842)". Lineage: Eukaryota; Viridiplantae; Streptophyta; Magnoliopsida; Rosales; Rosaceae. The record is from RNAcentral.